RNAcentral lists this ribosomal RNA (393 nucleotides) under uncultured bacterium. RNAcentral's name for it is "bacterial SSU rRNA". It matches the Rfam family "Bacterial small subunit ribosomal RNA", at positions 30 to 425 of the family's 1533-position model. The record is from RNAcentral.
AUUGAACGCUGGCGGCAUGCCUUACACAUGCAAGUCGAACGGCAGCGGGGACUUCGGUCCGCCGGCGAGUGGCGAACGGGUGAGUAAAGUAUCGGAACGUACCUUUCAGUGGGGGAUAACGUAGCGAAAGUUACGCUAAUACCGCAUAUUCUGUGAGCAGGAAAGCAGGGGAUCGCAAGACCUUGCGCUGAUUGAGCGGCCGAUAUCAGAUUAGCUAGUUGGUGAGGUAAAGGCUCACCAAGGCGACGAUCUGUAGCGGGUCUGAGAGGAUGAUCCGCCACACUGGAACUGAGACACGGUCCAGACUCCUACGGGAGGCAGCAGUGGGGAAUUUUGGACAAUGGGGGCAACCCUGAUCCAGCCAUGCCGCGUGAGUGAAGAAGGCCUCGGUUG